RNAcentral lists this long non-coding RNA (1186 nucleotides) under Oreochromis niloticus (Nile tilapia). Its description in RNAcentral is "lncRNA (ENSONIG00000040856.1)". Lineage: Eukaryota; Metazoa; Chordata; Actinopteri; Cichliformes; Cichlidae. The record is from RNAcentral.
GUUUUAACGUGGCGUGACCAGCAGAGGGCAGGAGCACAUAGAUUAUCAGUCAUCACAGCUAAAACCGCAGCUGAGGAAGAAGGUCAGCGUCUUGUACAGAAGGUGUGGAUGUUUGGUUCCUGGGUACCUGUGUGUGGUUUUCAGCAAACGAGCCCCUGCAUAAGCCUGCCCACCAUGUCCCUGUAUUCCUCAAAGCUCCAGUUGAGCGUAUCACUGUGUCUUCUCCUCCUCCUCCUCCUCCUCUGUUUGCUUCUGCGCCCUACGGACUCCUCCACCACAGGACCAAAUGGGGACAACCUCUUCUCAAAACCAACAGCUAAUUGCUCCAAUGGAUGUAAGUAUGUGGCAGGAGUCGCUCUUAAAGGUUCUCUGUGUAAGAAUGUGGAGCUUUUUUAAAAUCUGUUUUCAUGGGCAGUGAGUGAACAGCUUGUGACAUAACUAAAAAAAGAAAAAGAUGAGACCCGCUGUGGACACCCAACUUUGUUAAGACAAUAACUUGAAGAUUAGGCAACGUAGGAUUUUCAUUUUGAUGCCAUUGGUGAAUCUACUAACACUGGCAGCUGCAAGUAUUAUUCAAUGUUGUGACACUCAUACUCACAAUAUUGGCAUGAAUGUAGUCUAUAUGUCAUUUGUCGUGGAUGCCAGGUUGAUAAAGUGUACAGAAUAAGCAUUGUAUGUGUGGUUAGUAAGAUUCACUGGACUCAUCUCUGUGCUUGGCCUGCUGGACCUCAGUGCAGUGUUUGAUACUGUUGACUGUAAUAUUUGAUUACAGCGAUUAGAGCAUGCGGUAAGUAUUACAGGUACUGCGCUGCAGUGGUUUGAAUCAUAUCUAAUAGACUCCAACUUUAUCUAUCCAUGAAGGCAGAUAACACACACCAGUUAAACCACAGGAAUGUCUUAAAGACAUAAUCUCUAAUUUCCUGCUUCUAAAUUCAGAUAAAACUGAGUUUGUUGUACUUUGGAUUAAAAGUAAUAGAAAUAUGGGCUCCAACUAGUCCUGUCUCAGAGUGACUCUGAAAAACUAGUUCAUGCAUUUAUUACUUCUAGGCUGGACUACUGUGAUUCAUUAUUAUUAUUAGGAUGUCCUAAAAACUCCCCGAAAAGCCUUCAGUUGAUCCAAAAUCCUGUGGUGAGAUUACUGACAGGGACUAGAAAGAGAGAGCAUAUUUCUCCUGUAUUUUCUUCC